This 255-nucleotide ribosomal RNA is filed under the name uncultured bacterium. RNAcentral describes it as "partial 16S ribosomal RNA". It matches the Rfam family "Bacterial small subunit ribosomal RNA", at positions 524 to 776 of the family's 1533-position model. The record is from RNAcentral.
CACGUAGGGUGCGAGCGUUGUCCGGAAUUAUUGGGCGUAAAGAGUUCGUAGGCGGUGUGUCGCGUCGGCCGUGAAAACCUGCAGCUUAACUGUGGGCUUGCGGUCGAUACGGGCAUCACUGGAGUUCGGCAGGGGAGACUGGAAUUCCUGGUGUAGCGGUGAAAUGCGCAGAUAUCAGGAGGAACACCGGUGGCGAAGGCGGGUCUCUGGGCCGAUGACUGACGCUGAGGAGCGAAAGCGUGGGGAGCGAACAGG